GUGAUUCUCGUGCCUCAGCCUCCGGAGUAGCUGGGAUUACAGCCACCAUCACAAAUGAAAAAAGGAUGGAGAAGAACAAGUCUGGAUGUUGGGUUGGGGACAAUCCAACGUGGUAUGACAUCUACUUGUGGACACACUCUGCUUUCUGGUUUUUCUGUUUCUGAUUAGAAACUCAAAAACAAUAUGAGAAACAUACCUGAAAACAGCAGAAGAUCUGGAUCAUUCCGGCCAGCAAUUCAAAGUCUGCCAAAGGGAAAUCAAGUAUUGUAGAAACCUACGGGGCCUCUCAGAGCAUUUUACCAGAACUGUGGCAGGGUGACUGAUUGUGGUAUUCUCUUUGUAUUCUCUAUGCUGAAUCAUUUGCCAGAACUUCCAAUAUAUGAUUGCAAAACUAGACUUUUUUAAUGUUAUCUUGUCUCAGAUUUCUAAGCCUGAAAGAUUGAGGCUGUUGCUGAACGAUGCUUAAUUAACCAAGGCAUUGAGCUCCAACCAUGAGGCUUUGAGGAGUUUGAUAUCUAGCCCCUCUUGGCAUCAUAUGCUAAGACUGGCUGUGAGGCUAUGAGAAUCUUAAGUACCUGCACGCUGUUCAUAAGUGGUACUCUAAAACUCCUGAGGAAAUAAGGGAGACUGGAAUUAGUGGGAUUAGCUUGUGGGAUUAGCUUGUGUCCUUUGGCUUAGCCUCUUUCUCUCCAGAAAUUUCACUUUUGGCUCAGUCCUCACAGGGGAAGAAAGUCUUGUCCAAAGAUGGCGUCUACCCUGUGCUCCACUGUGUAUCCCAGAGGAGAGCAUCUUUACUGUGGAAUGGACUUCCAGCUGACUCAUGUUGGGGAAAGGAAGCAACACAGGAGCUUAAGAGGAAAAUUGAAAGAAACCACAGACCCUUUGAAAGAAGUGGCAAACUGCAGCUUACACCAUGAGCCAGGCAGAAAACUCUGAGUCCUCAGAGUGUGAAAGGAAGAGAAACUGCCUCUGGGAUAUGCACUCCCACUGGGGAACCUGGCAAUCCAGGCCACGGGGAAGACCUUAACCCUACCCAGUGCUGGAGCUGAUUUAAUGAGCUGAGGGGAGUAUAUGAGAAGGAGCAGCUUCAGGAUGUGCUUUGCUUGCACUCCUAGACUCUACUGGGGACAGAGGGAAGCCAUUCCUGAUCCUACCUCACAGAGGACCAUGCAGAAGUCAGCCAACUAGCUCAGGCGGUGGCCAUGGGCUGAGAGGAGUGAGAAGCUCCCAACUGAGAUUCACAAUAUAAUCUCUAGCAGGGAUGGACCUCCUUGACCAGAACUGAGGGGCAAGUGGGAAGUGCGCUGUGCCCACAGGUGUAGGAGCUGGGUGCCCCUGCUUCGCUAGCAGAUCAGGAGGGGCAUGGCCUGAGCAGUUUUUGUCUUGGCAGCCAGAGAAGGCUUAUGGUCUGGGACAGUUUUGAGUGCUGAAUGCAGCCUGCUUGCAACCUAGAUGGCCGCUGCCAGUAGAACACUGUGGGUCUGAGACCUGUCUUGCCAAGUGCAUAGGGGCUGAGUGGGGCUUACUGCCACCUGUACUCCCCACUUCCUGUGUGGACUCUUCUGUGCGGCAGGGGCAACUGCACUCCUCCCUGGAACAUUAUCCCAGCAUCCAGAGAACUGCCCUCUGAUCCCCACUGGGCCACUGAUUGCACCUGCACGUGGAUAGCCAGAGCGCGAACUUGCCUGACUCAGCCCCGACCUGGUUUGCCUUUUUACCCACCCUGGUAGCUUAACACAAAGGACAGAAACUUUCGGGAGUGUUAUGGACCUGCCCAUUGCUUGAGACACCAGAGUACCUCCCCUGGUCACAUAAGCCAAGCAUGAAUUCCACCACUACUACUGCAGUCAGUGCUCUUUCGCACCAACUGCACCUCCUGGCUAUAGGCCAAUCAACAUAGUCCAUUACAACAUCUGUAGGCAGAAUAACACAGCACUGGGAAGGAGAAAACUUUUGCAUGACUACAGCUACCACCAUUGCCUGCAUCACCCUGGCUAACCAGGAGGUCUUGAGUCUGUUCACAUGACCAGAUCAUUACUACUACAACUGAAAUUAGAGAAAGCCAGCACACUAAGGCUAUUUGUAACCAAAGAAUCUCACAGAGUUUACUUUACUCCUCUGCCAGCCCCAUCAGAGCUGGUGCUGGUACCCACUGCUGGGAGACUUGAGGAUAAGUCACAUCGCUGGACCCUUUGCAGACAUUCCCUAGCACAGGCCUGGAAUGUAGCAGCCCCAUUGGGUGGCCAGAUCCAGAGCCGCAGCAGCAAUCAUAGUAGUCUGGCACUCAGGGACUCCUACUCCUAGGGUAAGCAGGAGUGCACCACAUGAAGGGAGCACCCUGUGGGACAAAGGAAUCCAGAUGGCAGGCUUUGAGUCUCAGAACUUUACAAUUGUGGGAAAUUUCUUUCAGCAGAGAGACAGGUGCAGUGCUGGGCUCAGUGGGGAAGUCUGUGGCUCUACCUCACCAGUCAGGCAGCCCUGGUGCUUGUGAAGGGUCUUGGAGAAUAGGACUUCUCCCCCUCAUGCACCACUGCUGACACAGCUGGGGUUUCUCACAAAGGAACUCGGCAUGAGUGCACCUGUAGACAGCCUUUCUGGGACCCUUCAGGUGACUGCAUUCCCACAGGACAAGUGCCCUCCAGGCUCAGGCUUGUAUGAGAGGUAGAGUCACAAUUCAUCUCUACAUUCUUGCAGCUGAAAAGACGUGUCUGUCUGAAGGUCUAACAUCCAGUAUCUGUAAGGAACUUAAACAAAUUUACAAAAAACCCCUAACCCACCCCAUUAAAAAGUAGGCAAAGGAUAU
RNAcentral lists this long non-coding RNA (2803 nucleotides) under Homo sapiens (human). Its description in RNAcentral is "HSALNT0375820". Lineage: Eukaryota; Metazoa; Chordata; Mammalia; Primates; Hominidae. The record is from RNAcentral.